Zea mays is the source of this 610-nucleotide long non-coding RNA. RefSeq lists it as uncharacterized. The transcript has 2 exons. Lineage: Eukaryota; Viridiplantae; Streptophyta; Magnoliopsida; Poales; Poaceae. The record is from RefSeq and is a predicted model, not a curated record.
GUCGACUGCUCUCUACCAUGUGGGCCAGCUGCGCCAGCCUCACACACGUUCACUGCCGCGCGGGACCCACGCGUCAUCACCCACCUCCGCCAGAAUCGGAUCCGCGCCGCGAUACCAACUUCCUCCGCAUGCACAGGGAGUCUGUCCCCUGACUCCAACCUCUUGAGUCCGCGCCGGCCGCAAUAUUACACCUGCGCCGACCCUCAGUUCCAUCCACGCCCUAGUAAAAGCAUCCAGAGAGCUCGCCACCGGUGGGAAGCGCCGCAAGGAGGAACUGUCGACGCGCCGUGCCCAGAUCCUCGAAUUCGUCCACACUGGUCGUUGGGUGUCGCCGUGGUGCUUCACAUGGACACGCCAAAAAGGUUUGGGACAUCUUCGGGCGAGAUCUGCAACUGUCGCUGUGUCCACCACCACCCUCGGUGAAGAGCAGGUAGCCUAGGAGGAGGACUACUACGAGGAGUACGAGGAAGUCUAGGUGGCGUCUCCUAGUCAGUUUAAUGGCACCAAGGAAUAAUAUUAGUUCGCUUUAUUGUUAUCAUUUGUUUUUGUCAGACACUUCCGCUAUGUAAUAAUGUUUGUGACAUUUAUAUCUAUACACUUGGUCAUUAUA